ACUAUUGGCUGGACACAGCAAGGUCCUUAUCAUCCCUCUUGGGGAUGGCCGGGGUUCAGCCUUAAAGGCCCAUAGUAGCGAGCCAUGCGUAGCCUCGCAGACUUUCUGGAACCGGCCACAGCCAUAACCAUGGCUGCUACAUUGCUUUCACCUCACCUUCUCUUAAACCCUAAACUAUCCAUACAAAACUCUGCUUCUAAAUUCCCAACACCCAAAUCCCGCUCAACCCCCAAAAUUAGGGCAGCCUUCUCCGACCCAUUUGUCCUCCAGAUUGCAGAAAGCCUAGAGGACUCUCUCUCUUCUUCUUCAACCUCUUCUCCACCACCUCUCCAAAAGCUCAGAGACGCCUCCUCACAAACCGUACUUUCUACUCCAUGGCCUUCUCGCAAAGACGAGCCCUUCCGCUUCACAGACACUUCCCUUAUCAGAUACUCCCAAGUCACCCCUAUUUCACACCCACCAACUUCAAUCGCCAUUUCCACCGACACCCAAUUUCCCAAUCUCUCCAUCGUGGAUGGCCACAUUGUAUAUUCUCUCUCCAAUUUGUCCCAAUUGCCCACUGGCGUUUUCGUAGGUUCCCUGUCGAGCCUCCCUUCUGAAACCAUCACGAAAAAGGUGUCUGAAUUUGUGGCCAAUUUUGAAGGAGACCUGUUUUGGUCCCUCAACGGGUUGGGCACACCGGACAUGGCUGUUGUGUAUGUUCCGGCUGGGUGUCGCGUGGAAAUGCCCCUUCAUAUUGUGUAUUAUUCCGUUGAGGGUGGGGAUAUCGGGUCUAAGAAGUUACCUGUGUCAAAUCCAAGGGUUUUUGUCUUGGUGGAGGAGGGCGGGGAGAUUGGUGUGAUUGAGGAGUAUGUGGGUGUAGGUGAGAACAAGUGUUAUUGGGCCAAUACAGUUACUGAGGUGGUGAUUGGGGAAGGGGCUAAAGUGAAGCAUUCUUACAUUCAAAGCCAGUCUUUGAGUGCUGCUCAUAUCAAGUGGACUUCAGUUCAGCAGGGAUCUUCUAGUUCCUAUGAGCUUAUAGAGGUAAGUACUGGUGGAAAAUUGAGCAGGCAUAAUGUCAACAUCCAGCAAGUUGGCCCAGAUACAGUAACAGAGUUGUCAGCUUUUCACUUGUCUGUUGGUGACCAAACACAAGAUCUACAUAGUAGACUAGUCCUGGACCAUCCACGAGGGUACUCCCGGCAACUUCACAAGUGCAUUGUGGCUCAUUCACUAGGACAAGCUGUAUUUGAUGGGAAUAUAAAAGUCAACAGAUACGCACAGCGGACAGAUGCAGGACAACUAACAAGAAGCCUUCUUCUUGAGCCUCGGGCAACUGUAAAUGUCAAACCCAACCUCCAAAUCAUUGCUGAUGAUGUCAAGUGUUCCCAUGGAGCUGCAAUUAGUGACCUGGAAGAAAACCAACUUUUCUACUUCUUGGCGCGUGGUAUUGAUUUAGAGACUGCUAGAAAGGCUCUCAUCUUCUCCUUUGGAGGUGAGGUUAUAGAGCGUUUGCCUUAUUCCUCGAUCCGGAAGAAAGUAGAGACUCAUAUCAAAGCACUGUUGGAACCCACACUUAAAGGUUCCUCAUGAUGAGUAGUAAAUGAGAAUAUAUUGAUCUAGAAUGCAGUCCUCCGAAAGACUCAAGGUGAUCGAACCAUUUAACAUUCAAAUUUCUAUAAAGUAAUGGUGUGUUCUCAGCAGUUGGAAUAAUUAGUGGUGUUGUCACUUGCUAGCACCCAAGCUGCCUCUUAGGAGAAAACCUGGGAUCCAAUCUGCCUUGUGGCAGCUUAAAGGGCAGCCUUUAAGUUUGGAAAAUUUCAAGGAUUGAAGUGUAUGGAUCCUCUGCUAGAGAUGUGGCUAAGCAGCUCAAGGUAUGUAUUGUAUAUAUAUUUGGAAAAUAAUCUAGAAUCAGGUGGUCCUCAAAAUAAUAUAAAGAGGAUCUGAAAUAUUGUCAACUACAUAAUAUUAAUUAUUUCUUGAGGUGUUUUUAAAUAUUAAUAUAUUUUAUAGGGAAAUCAAUGCAUAAUUGGCUUGUGGGCCAUAAAUUAAUAUCACAGUUACCAAAAAUUGUGGGCAGUGAAGAAUCGAAAGCCCAUGUGAAAAAGGUUAUUUUCAGACCUUGAAAGAAGGAAACAAAGAACUCUUCUCUUUCAAAUCAGUUUCUGAACUUUGUGUUGGAUGUAUACCUCACUGGCAGGGUUAUCUGGCACAUUUGGUCCUGCCAUUCAGGCUGUGUCUUUGCAUCUCUUUCCUUAGUUUUUUCUUUCCUUAUUUCUCCUCUAUUUUUUUCCUCCAAAACUGAGUUAAUGCAUAUGUGGACCACUUUAUUUGAGAUCUAUUUGGUUUGGGUUGGUCUUGGUUUGGGAUGCUUAAAUAGAGGGAGACAGAUUUGAGAAUCAAUAUUCCGAGAAUGAGAAACUGUCCAUGCUAGGAUUUGAGAAUCAUCAGCCAUUAGCCUUGUUACUACAAAGUCAUGGCAUGGGCCAUCCAUUGGUUUUUCAUUGGUACAAGGCCCUAAACCUUUGUGGCAAUUUUUGGAGUAGUGGUAAACUUAUACAUCUUAUUGGCCUUCAUGUUGUUUGCUUUUCCUUCAUUUUUUUUCUUUUAUAUAUAUUAAAUUAUCCUUUCUCUCACUCUUAUAUUUUCUGAUUAAUUUGAACCCAUAAGGCUCUUGUGGCAAGCUUAAUAUUUAUGAAUCCUUUAGAGGAAUGAGAAUUUCUGGAAAAACUAAGACCCAGUCUCCAAUAAAGAAAGCAUGGCUGAGAUCCAAAUCUGCAUGUAUGUUGUGUGUUUAGCAUGUUCUGUGAUUCUUAAUGUGCUGCUGCUUCUGAGCAAUUAUGUGUAUGUGGGUGGGAAAGGGGAGUUGAGUUGGAGCAGCAGAGGAAGCAGAAGCAGUGGCAGCAGUGACAUGCUCCGGCCAUGGAAGAGCAUACUUGGAUGGUUUGGUUGUUGAUGGAAGCCCUGUUUGUGAGUGCAACUACUGCUUAAGAGGCCUUAACUGCUCUCAAUUCUCACCUGAUUGUGUUGCAGAUGUUGACUGGUAUGUAUAUUUCUCUCACCCACCACAAAGAAGUUCUGGUGAUAUUGUUGUUCAAAGAAAUAGUAAAUACUAAUAUAUAUAGAUAUGGAUAGAUAUAUAUAUAUUGCAGAAUAAUCAGUUUUCAUUCAAGGCAAAAUUUUGGUUCAUCUUUACUGAGAAGGGACUCAAAGUUUGAUUGUAGUUUUGUGAUUUUAAGGAGAAUUAAUUAAAUGAAUGAGAUGAUCAAACUGAUAAAAAUCUUUUGUAGUGUACAUUAGAAUGGGUGGGGGGCAGGUUAAGAUUUUGGCAGCACAAUUGUUGUUGAUCAUUAUUGUUGCUCAUUUUUUAUUUUAGGCUUUCAUUAUGACAAUCCAUAGAACAGCCAACGAGAAUAGAAGCUGCUGUGUUUAACACGGAAAAACAAGCCAACCUGGUAUAUUCCUUGCUAGGAGCAAAUCCCAGAGUGACAUAAUGAGAACAGUCGGUACAUUAAUGUGAGCUUUGACUAGUUUUUAUAAUUCUUUUUUAAAAAAUUUUAAAAUGCUACUUAACCUUAAAAAAAUUAACACCAAGUUAGUGAAGCAGUGGAUGGACAGAAGGAUGCUGCUUGGUAGAGAAUAAAUAUUAUCCCAUAUACGGCUACCUAGAGUGGGAGGAAGGUUGAGAUCGAAUUGGAAUGGGGAAAGGCAUGUAAAAGGUGCACACAUUUUGCAAUAGGGACUGUGCGAAUGACUUAGGAUGACAAGUGAGUUAGGUAAGUUUCUUUCUAGUUGGCUGUGGAUGAUUCCCGUAAACCAAUUCUGUCUCUUGCCUUAGUUGGUUUGGAUUUCUCAGGUCUUAAACUUAAUAGGAAAACCUUUCAUGCCUAAGCCAUAUAAUCCCACCAACACAGUACAGAAUAGCAGCAUUUGGGCUAAGAUUGGCCUGGAGGAUUGAGUCCAGAUUUUGUUUGUGGAUCAUUGAGAGAUCAAGGGUAAUCAUGCCACCUUUGAAGAAAUUGCUUGACUUCCUCCAUUAACCUUGUAGCCCAAAAAAUUUCAUUGGGUCUUUCACUUGUGAAAAUUUGUUGCCCACUUGAAGCAGUCCAUCAAGAAAAGGUCGAUAGGGUAGUGGUUAAAUGGAUUUGGAUGUAUGUUGAAGAGUGCGUGAUAAAUAAAAAUGCGAAAAUACAUGAGAAAGCAAUGACAUUGGAAUUGGGUAAAAUACCUUUAUCUUCUCUAAGGAUUUUUUUUGGGAUUUUUAUUAUGGUGGUGGUUUGGGGGAAUAUAUCAUUUUCCGAAAGAACUGGCGUGUAGCCUGCUUUGUGGACUUAAACCUGUUCGAUCCUUUUCGUCUUGACAGGUUUUUCUUCCUGGAUAAUUUGACUGGAUUUGAAAUCACUUAACUUUUGGAGGUGAGCAGUUAUUAUUAUUAUUGUUCUGACUCUUAUGCAUUUCAGUUGUUAUUUUUUGGUUCUAGUUUUUGACCAUUUGAAGGUGAGUGAUUAGAUGCACUUACCAAUCUGGAUGGAGUUUGCUAUUUCGUUUGAAUUCUGUGGUUUAGUGGCUAAUAAGAAGGGAACAUCUUGGUGCCGGAGCUUUGGUUCCAAGCUCUGUGUUCUUGGGCAACAGCUUGAAGAAGGUGAACUCCAAGCUUGCCCAACUGAGGAUUUCAUCUGGGAACUUCAAGGUUGUUGUGGAAGUUGAUGAGGAUGAGCAGACCUUAAAGGACAAAUGGAAAGGCCUUGCCUUUGAUACCUUGGAUGAUCAAUAGGACAUCACUCCAGGAAAGGGAAUGGUGGACUCUCUCUUCCAAGCUCCCAUGGGAUUGACCUUCAAGUCUUCUAACAAAUAUCUUAGCCAAUUGAUCUUACAACAAGUUGAUGCCAUAGACCUGUACUCUUCUAUGGAAGAACGUCAAAUUGUUAUUUGCUUGCUUGUCUUGGAAGAAAUAGGUGAUUGGCCAAGUAAUUAAUAUGUAAUAUCCGAUAAUUGACUGCUGAGUA
Molecule: RNA transcript, 4985 nt
Organism: Vitis vinifera (wine grape)
Lineage: Eukaryota; Viridiplantae; Streptophyta; Magnoliopsida; Vitales; Vitaceae
Gene name: protein ABCI7, chloroplastic
Exons: 5
Source: RefSeq, a predicted model, not a curated record